This 497-nucleotide ribosomal RNA is filed under the name uncultured bacterium. Its description in RNAcentral is "partial 16S ribosomal RNA". It matches the Rfam family "Bacterial small subunit ribosomal RNA", at positions 28 to 507 of the family's 1533-position model. The record is from RNAcentral.
GAUGAACGCUGGCGGCGUGCCUAAUACAUGCAAGUCGAGCGAACAGACGAGGAGCUUGCUCCUCUGACGUUAGCGGCGGACGGGUGAGUAACACGUGGAUAACCUACCUAUAAGACUGGGAUAACUUCGGGAAACCGGAGCUAAUACCGGAUAAUAUAUUGAACCGCAUGGUUCAAUAGUGAAAGACGGUUUUGCUUUCACUUAUAGAUGGAUCCGCGCUGCAUUAGCUAGUUGGUAAGGUAACGGCUUACCAAGGCAACGAUGCGUAGCCGACCUGAGAGGGGGAUCGGCCACACUGGAACUGAGACACGGUCCAGACUCCUACGGGAGGCAGCAGUGGGGAAUCUUCCGCAAUGGGCGAAAGCCUGACGGGGCAACGCCGCGUGAGGGAUGAAGGUCUUCGGAUCGUAAAACUCUGUUAUUAGGGAAGAACAAAUGUGUAAGUAACUAUGCACGACUUGACGGUACCUAAUCAGAAAGCCACGGCUAACUACGUG